This 717-nucleotide ribosomal RNA is filed under the name uncultured bacterium. RNAcentral describes it as "bacterial SSU rRNA". It matches the Rfam family "Bacterial small subunit ribosomal RNA", at positions 61 to 773 of the family's 1533-position model. The record is from RNAcentral.
GUCGAGCGGUAGAGAGGUGCUUGCACCUCUUGAGAGCGGCGGACGGGUGAGUAAAGCCUAGGAAUCUGCCUGGUAGUGGGGGAUAACGCUCGGAAACGGACGCUAAUACCGCAUACGUCCUACGGGAGAAAGCAGGGGACCUUCGGGCCUUGCGCUAUCAGAUGAGCCUAGGUCGGAUUAGCUAGUUGGUGAGGUAAUGGCUCACCAAGGCGACGAUCCGUAACUGGUCUGAGAGGAUGAUCAGUCACACUGGAACUGAGACACGGUCCAGACUCCUACGGGAGGCAGCAGUGGGGAAUAUUGGACAAUGGGCGAAAGCCUGAUCCAGCCAUGCCGCGUGUGUGAAGAAGGUCUUCGGAUUGUAAAGCACUUUAAGUUGGGAGGAAGGGCAUUAACCUAAUACGUUAGUGUUUUGACGUUACCGACAGAAUAAGCACCGGCUAACUCUGUGCCAGCAGCCGCGGUAAUACAGAGGGUGCAAGCGUUAAUCGGAAUUACUGGGCGUAAAGCGCGCGUAGGUGGUUAGUUAAGUUGGAUGUGAAAUCCCCGGGCUCAACCUGGGAACUGCAUUCAAAACUGACUGACUAGAGUAUGGUAGAGGGUGGUGGAAUUUCCUGUGUAGCGGUGAAAUGCGUAGAUAUAGGAAGGAACACCAGUGGCGAAGGCGACCACCUGGACUGAUACUGACACUGAGGUGCGAAAGCGUGGGGAGCAAAC